Molecule: long non-coding RNA, 205 nt
Filed under: Elaeis guineensis (African oil palm)
Lineage: Eukaryota; Viridiplantae; Streptophyta; Magnoliopsida; Arecales; Arecaceae
Description: long non-coding RNA (EGUI_LNC057989)
Source: RNAcentral
UUGGUUGGCCACUCCAUGAGAGAGAAUCCCAGGUAAUUGGGACUCUAAGGAUCACAUUCAUUUUGGCUCCAAUCUGAGUCCAAUUCAAACUUGAUUCAAAUCAGAUUCGAACCAAACUCGAAGAGGCUGUCAAUCCUCAUCUAAUUAGGAUUUUGACCCAAGUCUAACUUAUAUUUUAACCUAAUUAAGUCUUAAUUAAAUUAUA